GGGUUUCAAGCGGAAUGGUAGACGCGGGGGACUUAAAAUCCUCUGGGGCAACCCGUGCGGGUUCGAGUCCCGCCCCG
This 77-nucleotide transfer RNA is filed under the name Armatimonadota bacterium. RNAcentral describes it as "Armatimonadetes bacterium (sediment metagenome) tRNA-Leu". It matches the Rfam family "tRNA". Rfam says of the family: Transfer RNA (tRNA) molecules are approximately 80 nucleotides in length. Their secondary structure includes four short double-helical elements and three loops (D, anti-codon, and T loops). Lineage: Bacteria; Bacillati; Armatimonadota. The record is from RNAcentral.